GUGGAGCAUGUGGUUUAAUUCGAAGCAACGCGAAGAACCUUACCAGGUCUUGACAUCUAGUGCCAACCUAAGAGAUUAGGCGUUCCCUUCGGGGACACUAAGACAGGUGGUGCAUGGCUGUCGUCAGCUCGUGUCGUGAGAUGUUGGGUUAAGUCCCGCAACGAGCGCAACCCUUAUUAUUAGUUGCCAGCAUUAAGUUGGGCACUCUAAUGAGACUGCCGGUGACAAACCGGAGGAAGGUGGGGAUGACGUCAAGUCAUCAUGCCCCUUAUGACCUGGGCUACACACGUGCUACAAUGGGCAGUACAACGAGGAGCGAACUUGUGAAGGCAAGCGAAUCUCUGAAAGCUGUUCUCAGUUCGGACUGUAGGCUGCAACUCGCCUACACGAAGCUGGAAUCGCUAGUAAUCGCGGAUCAGCACGCCGCGGUGAAUACGUUCCCGGGCCUUGUACACACCGCCCGUCACACCAUGAGAGUUUGUAACACCCAAAGCCGGCCGGAUAACCUAGUUUACUAGGAGUCAGCCGUCUAAGGUGGGACAAAUGAU
Molecule: ribosomal RNA, 548 nt
Filed under: uncultured Lactobacillus sp.
Lineage: Bacteria; Bacillati; Bacillota; Bacilli; Lactobacillales; Lactobacillaceae
Description: bacterial SSU rRNA
Rfam family: Bacterial small subunit ribosomal RNA
Source: RNAcentral